GAGCAGUCGGGCGCCGGCACCGAGGCGACCCGUGAGCUGUAGACUGUGUCCUCAACCGGGUUGUGUGGAUGUCGAUUCGUUUACUUACAGAGUUCACUUUUAUCCUUAAAACGAUGUCUGCCAGCCUUCUCAGCUCUAAAGUCACACCUUUCCUCGUGGCAAGCAAAAAAUAGUUUGUACAUAAAACAGGGUCUCCCUAUGUAAUCCAGGCUGGCCUUGAACUCACUGUGUAGUUCAAACUGGCCUUGGAUUCACAGUGAUCUUCCUGUCUCAUCCUGCUCAUGCUCCCCAGGUCAGCACCCCCACGGCCAGGCCAUCUUCAUUUGAACAAGCCACGUUUCAAGUGUUCAGCAGCCACAGGUGGCUGGAGACUGCCAUAUCCAACAGUGCAAGUCUAGAUCAUACUUCAGAAAGAAAUAAGGGGAAGUGUGUCCCGCCUUGAGGAGCCACUAUCAAAUAAACAGAAUGUUCCCACCAAGCAUACUCCUGAAAAUUAUCAGACUUUAAAAGAAUUCUAAAUCAUGAUGAAAAGUUACACAAAUAUUCACUUAGAGGAGCAUGUCCUUGCCAGCAUAUCCAAACUGGCAGCGUCUUCAAAGUUGGGAGAACCUGGGGACCAUGGUGCACACCUGCA
Heterocephalus glaber (naked mole-rat) is the source of this 634-nucleotide long non-coding RNA. The record is from Ensembl. Lineage: Eukaryota; Metazoa; Chordata; Mammalia; Rodentia; Bathyergidae.